Myxocyprinus asiaticus (Chinese sucker) is the source of this 7207-nucleotide RNA transcript. It is a transcript of the gene named E3 ubiquitin-protein ligase znrf1, with no coding region annotated. The record is from RefSeq and is a predicted model, not a curated record. The transcript is spliced from 3 exons. Lineage: Eukaryota; Metazoa; Chordata; Actinopteri; Cypriniformes; Catostomidae.
ACUUACUCAUUUCACUAAAUUGGUCAAAUUGAUUAUUGAGUUGAUAAGUAAGUCACUGCAUCGGUUGGAGUGAUUACUUGAAUUGACAACUAAUUCACUGAAUUGGUUGGAGUGAUUACUGAGUUGACAACUUGCUCACAGAACCAGCUGGAGUGAUUACUGCAUUAGCUCACUCACUGAAUUGGCCAGUCAACUUACUAAUUUCCCUGAAUUGGUCAAAUCAGUUACUGAGAUGACAACUCACUCACUGAAUCGGUUGGAGUGAUUAAUUGAGUUGACAACUCGCUCACUGAAUCGGUUGGAGUGAUUAAUUGAAUUGACAACUCACUCACUGAAUCAGUUGGAGUGAUUAAUUGAGUUGACAACUCACUCACUGAAUUGGUUGGAGUGAUUACUUGAGUUGACAACUUACUCACAGAACCAGCUGGAGUGAUUACUGCGUUAACUCAAUCACUUAAUCGGCCAGACAACCUACUCAUUCACUGAAUCAGUCAAAUUGAUUACUGAGUUGACAACUCACUCACUGAACCUGUUGCAGUGAUUACUGCGUUAACUCAAUCACUUAAUUGGUUAACUCACUCACUGACAACCUACUCAUUCAUUGAAUCAGUCAAAUUGAUUACUGAGUUGAUAACUCACUCACUGAAUCGGUUUGAGUGAUAAAAGAGUUGACAACUUUCUGAAUCAUUUGGAGGGAUUACUGAGUUAACAACUCACUCACUGGACUGGUCAGUCAAUUCACUCAUUCACUGAAUCGGCCAAAUCAAUUUCUGAGUUGAUAACUCACAGACUAAAUCAGUUGGAGUGAUUUACUAAAUUAACCGCUCACGUCCUGAUGUGGAUUUAGUGAUUACGGAGUUAAAAACUCACUAAAUAAUUCACUACAUUGCGAGCCAUUAUAUUGUGUGUUAUGUGUACUUUUUGAUACAAAUGCAAAUUGGUAAGGUUUGUCAGACCUAAUUAAGUCUAUUUACUGACUGGUUCAUAUUAGCCUAUAAGAUAGUUUCAUAUUCACAAAAAUGUAGACAUUCUGUUGUCAGUAGUUCAACUUCAAUUCUCUCUAUACUAGAUAUUUAUAUUUAAUGUAAAAAAAUAUAUUUAGUCCAAACUGAAUCAAUAUGUUUCCCUUUAGGGCAUAAGGCCAUGAAGAAAACAUCAGCGUAGUUGAAGUGUUAUUCUGCCCUUUAAAAAAAAUAUCCCACUCAUCAUUCUACAUCUCAAAUUUCCCCCUCCCUUUCUGAGAGCUAAAUUUAACAGUAGGUAUUAAAAUAUCAUCAUGCAUUACCCUGGCUUGGAAAAGAUACAUUGGUCAGCUCACAUGGGCCCUUUCAGAGUGUGAUAUACACAAACAAACAUAGACACACAAAGCUGCUACAGUAUCAAAGUAAAAGUGUUACCAUUCUGGGGUCAUACUAAAAAGCACAGGCACAAAAAUAUGGAAGGAACCUGAAACAUAAUUACUAACAGGCCCGGUUCUACUGUGGUGCAAAUAAAUGUUAGAUCACCCUCAGUUAGAUAUGAAAGCCUAAUAAUAGCAGCCUGAUCUCAUGAAAUUUACAUGAACAUGACAACAUUUUUGCAAUUCAAAAUGUACAUGCUGUAUAACACGUUUGGCUGCAGGUUUCCAGUGAAAUGUCCAGCUGAGGGUGCCAAAAGGGAGUAAAAUGGUGUUGUGUUCAGACGAGGUUUUAAGGUGAAUUUUAGAUGGAUGUUUUUAAAACAUAACUCCCUAAUGUAAAACUUUUGCCUGAACCUAACCAAUAGUGUUUUAAAAUAUAAAUGAGAUGUUUAAAAAAGACAUCCUUACCAAAUCAAACCCUUAACCUAACCAUUAGUGUUUUAAAAUAGAAAUGAGAUGUUUAAAAAAGAUAUCCUUACCUUAUCAAUGCCUAAACCUAACCAUUAGUGUUUUAAAAUGCUGAAGCAAAAGCACAUUUUCUGAACCAACCACAGCAUUUCUUGCCACUUCUACGACUCUGUAAUGUCACAAAUCAGCUUGAGUUCAUGGUUGGACUUGAACUGCAGUACUCCAACUCUAAGUCCAACGCCCUAUCAGGUGAGCUACUGCACAAGCUACUCAUGUUGGAAUAAGUGUAUAUAUGUAGGUGUGUCUGUAAUACAAGCAUUAAAAUGUAUAGUUUUUCAAAAGAUGCGUUGGAGUAAAAGUGUGUCGUUAUCAUGAAAUUGUUCAAAAUAAACUGUUCUAGCGUGUAACACUCUCACUCACGGUGCUGUACUGUACUUCCCUGCCCUGUGCUGCUGUUUAUCUCUCUGAAAAGCCUAACCCGCUAGAGGCCAAAAGUGCGCAUGGUAUGGAUAUUAUAUAAAGAAAGUAUGAGAAAUCACAAAAUAUAAUAUAACCAAAUGCUACAAUUUACUUAAUAAUAUUAUCUCAAUUUGUUAAAUAACCAUCAUGUUAAUUAAGACAUUAUUACAACUAUAAUACUAUAAUACAUAUACAGAGCAACCACUUUUAGUGUUUGAAUCAAUCAUAUCUCUCACUAAACACUGUGUGAAAUGUUUAUUUUUGCCUUAUUUUAUUCAUUUGGCAUGUAGGAGUUGAUAACAGUUUGCUUAAUAAUUUCAUUCCAUAUCUAGAUAACUGCUGCAAUAUCAUAGAGGAUAAAUUUCCUCCUCUAUGAUAUUGCAUUAUAUUAGUUUUGUACAGUAUUGUGAGGAAACCGCUCUCCUAUGUCCUCCUGCUGUGAAGGCCUUUUACACUGGUGCCGCAACCCGGGAAUUGGUUUAAAGACCGCACGCCCCAUGGAGUCCUUCCCGCUGUCUGACAUCAUCAAGUCCCUCGCUGACCUACAUCAGACCCACCAACAGGCUCUGCUUGAGCUCCACCAAGAUCAGGAAUGCCACUUCCAUGAGGUUCUUGGAGCUCAGGCAGAGGACCGGCAGGCCAUUCGGAGCCUUCUCAACCAGGAGAAAGCCCCGGCAGUGACCCCCGGACAACAGCAGCCCCUGCCCACACUGAUGAAGAUGGGGGUGGAAGAUGUCCUGGAAGCCUUCCUCGACUUGUUCAAGCUCACCGCUGAAAUCUGGGGCUGGCCGCAUGCUCAGUGGGUGGCCCGGCUCAUCCCUUUGCUGUCUGGGGAAGCCCAGCUUGCCGCACAAUAACUGCCGCCGGUUAAUCUCCUGGUCUACAGCGACCUGAAGAAGACCAUCCUGCAGCGGGUUGGCUGGAGCCCAGAGCAAUACCGACAACUGUUCUGCACGAUGAAGCUGGAAGGAGCCAGCCACCCGUUCACCUCCUCUCAGAUGCCUGCCGGAAAUGGCUGCUGGUGGGGGACCGCGACAUCGAGGGAGUGGUCGACCAAAUGGUGCUGGAACAGCUGAUCCACCGGCUUCCAGAAGGGACGGCUAAUGGGUCCAGUGCCAUUGCCCAGCAUCGCUGGAGGAAGCAGUCCAGCUGCCAGAGGACCAUAUGGCGGCGUGUCCAAGGGCGGAAGGGCCCUCUCCCUCUCUCUCUCCUCCCCCUGUGUUUCUUCCCAUCUCUUCCCACUCCCCCCUCCCCUCUCACUUUGUCCUCUCUCCAGGCCCUGUUCCUGCACCCUGGAGGCGUGGAAACCCACCACCGAAGCCAGCUCCUCACUUGCGCCGGUUUAUCCCUUUCCCGGCGACUUCAGUGCCUUCCCGCUCUCCCCCUCAGGUGGAUGUACCUGCCCCUUCAAGUGCGGGCAUAGCGCCUGGGCCGGCCUGCUGGCGUUGCGGGGAUCCUUCCGGGAUCAGUGUCCUGUGAUGGAGCUGGGAACUGUAGUCCGGAUCCCCGAUCCACCACAGGCUGCCCCCGAUCGGGCUGGAGGGUACAGGAUACCGGUAAGAGUCAAGGAGAGAACACACCAAGCCUUGGUGGACACGGGUUGUAACCAGACCACUAUCCACCAAUGCUUGGUUCAACACGAGGCUUUGGGCACAACUAAAAGUGUGAGGGUGAAAUGUGUACAUGGGGAUAUUCACAACUACCCUGUGGUGACCCUCGUUAUUAAAUUUCAGGGAACAAAGCAUAGAGUGGAGGCCGCGGUUAGUUCCCGCCUCACCCAUCCGCUGAUUUUGAGGACUAAUUGGCCUGAGUUCAGAAAUGUAUUAAAGGGAAUAUGCGUGGAUGGGUCCUGCACAAAAGCGACGAAAUGUGCGAUGCUCUGGCAGGGGAGGUGGAGCCUGGGCCGUCUUCAUCAGCUCCACGUCAGGAUGAGGUGAGGGGGGAAGAGGCUGCAGCCCCUCCCAUCCUCGGGGGAGGGUAUUUUCCUUUGGAGCACUUGCGAGACGAAACCCUCAAGCAAGCCUUCAACCAAGUGAGUGAUCGAUGGUCAACAACUCCAGCCGAAUGUCGCACUUUCAUAUCUCUAUUUCGCAAUUAUAAAUGAGUGGUUGUAUAGAGUGAUGCAGGAUGCUCAAACUAAGGAAGAUACAGCCCAGCUCUUAAUACCACAGAGCCGCUGGGAAAUGGUGUUCCAGGCGGCUAAUUAUAAUCCCAUGGCGGGGCAUCUAGGGGAAAGAAAAACACUGAACUGACUAAUAGCCCGUUUUUAUUGGCCGGGCAUUGGCGGCGAUGUUCGCAGGUGGUGUGCGGCUUGACGUGAAUGUCAGCUGGUGAACCCACCGGCCACCCCAAAAGAGCCAUUGCGCCCCCUUCCGCUGAUUGAGAUCCCCUUCGAGAGAAUUGGCAUGGACCUCAUCGGGCCAUUAGAGUGGUCAACACGCGGACAUCGCUUUGUAUUGGUCCUAGUGGACUAUGCAACGUGAUAUCCAGAAGCAGUGCCCCUGCGCAACAUCUCAGCACGCAGUGCUGCGGAGGCACUCUUCAAAAUAAUCUCCCGGGUGGGGAUUCCGAAAGAAAUCCUCACCGAUCAGGGCACAACACUUAUGUCACGGACACUACACAAGCUUUAUGAAUUAUUGGGCAUUAAGUCAAUUUGCACCAGCAUUUACCAUCCACAAACAGAUGGCCUGGUGGAGCGAUUUAAUAAAACCCUUAAAAUUAUGAUUUGUAAGUUUGUGCACGAGGAUGCUAGAAAUUGGGACAAAUGGCUCGAUCCCCUGUUAUUCGCAGUACGAGAGGUCCCGCAAGCCUCCACUGGGUUUUCCCCAUUCGAGCUUCUGUAUGGACGGUGCCCGUGCGGCGUGCUUGAUGUCAUACGCGAAGCUUGGGAGGAGGGACCUUCAACCAGUAAAAAUGAAAUUCAAUACAUUCUAGAUCUUAGAGGAAAACUCCACACCUUGGGGCAACUAACACAGGAGAAUUUGCUCCAAGCUCAAGAACGACAGAGCCGACUGUAUAACAGGGGAACUUGGCUAUGGGAAUUUGCACCAGGAGAUAAGGUACUCGUAUUACUCUCCACAUCGAGCACCAAAUUACUUGCCAGGUGGCAAGGACUUGCCUUUGAGGUCACACGACAAGUGGGGGAACUCGAUUAUGAGGUAAGGAGAGCUGAGAGAGGGGGCGCGCGUCAAAUUUAUCACCACAACCUCCUGAAAUUGUGGAAGGAGGCGGCCCCUGUGAUGUUGGCUAUGGUAGUUCUGGAGAGGGCGGAGCUCGGGCCGGAGGUAAACACAAAACACAAUCAUGUCACCACGGUCACUUGCGGAGACCACCUUUCACCAUACCAACUCGCAGAGGUUGCCAAACUACAACAAGAAUUCGCAGAUGUGUUUUCCCCUCUACCAGGUCACACAAACCUCAUCCAGCAUCACAUUGAGACCGAGCCGGGGGUGGUAGUACGUACCUGUCCCUACCGAUUGCCCGAACAUAAAAAAAAAAUUGUCCAGGAAGAAUUGGAUGCAAUGCUCAAUAUGGGAGUAAUAGAGGAAUCCCACAGCGACAGGUCCAGCCCGGUUGUUCUGGUGCAUAAGAGCGAUGGUCUGUACGGUUCUGUGUGGAUUAUAGAAAAGUCAACGCGGUGUCUAAAUUUGAUGCCUACCCAAUGCCUCGUAUUGAUGAGUUGCUCGAUCGGUUAGGCACUGCUCAUUUUUACUCGACACUGGAUUUGACAAAGGGUUAUUGGCAGAUCCCCUUGACACCAAUUUCCCGUGAAAAAACGGCUUUCUCCACACCGUUCGGAUUACACCAAUUUGUGACACUUCGGUUUGUUUGGGGCUCCAGCCGCGUUUCAGCGCCUCAUGGACCGAAUCCUCAGACCACAUACGGCUUACGCCGCUGCCUAUUUGGAUGAUAUCAUCAUUUAUAGCAAUGAUUGGCAGCGGCAUAUGCAGCAUCUGAGGGGGGUUCUGAGAUCGCUGAGAUGGGCGGAGCUCACAGCAAACCCUAAGAAGUGCACGAUUGGGCGGGUGGAGGUACGGUAUCUGGGGUUCCACUUGGGCCACAGGCAGGUGCGUCCCCAAAUUGACAAGAUGGCGGUGAUUGCGACCUGCCCGAGACCCAAGACCAAAAAGGGGGUGAGACAGUUCCUGGGGCUGGCUGGCUAUUAUAGGAGAUAUGUGCCUAUAUAUUCGGACGUCACCAGCCCGCUGAUUUCACUGAAAAGGGAGCUCCAGACCCUGUCCAGUGGACGGAGCAGUGCCAACAGGCGUUUACGCAGGUUAAAGCCGCACUUUGCGGGGGGCUGCUUUUACAUGCACCUAAUUUUUCUCUCCCUUUUGUAUUGCAGAUGGACGCUUCAGACAGGGGGCUAGGGGACGUGCUCUCGCAGGUGGUGGAGGGGGAGGAGUGCCCGGUGCUGUACAUCAGUUGCAAGCUCUCCUUGAGGGAAACAAAGUACAGCACUGUGGAAAAGGAGUGUCUGGCCAUCAAGUGGGCAGUCCUCACUCUCCGUUACUACCUGCUGGGGCGGGCCUUCACCCUCUGCUCAGAUCACGCCCCACUCCAAUGGCUUCACCGCAUGAAGGAUACCAACGCGCAGAUCACCCAGUGGUAUCUGGCUCUCCAGCCCUUUAAAUUCAAGGUGGUCCACAGACCGGGGGCACAGAUGGCUGUCGCCGACUUCCUUUCCAGAAAUGGGGGGGAGUGGUAGACAGGCCGGAUGUCUCCCCGGCCUGAGUCGGGCGGUGGGGAUAUGUGGCAGCGGUGGCGUGGUCGAGCGUCCAUCCGGGGAGAGAGAAAGCGAUGAUGUGUUGUCAAGAGAUGCCGGAGAGUGUGUAAUAUGUCUCGAGGAGCUACAGCAAGGAGACACCAUCGCUAGACUGCCGUGCCUCUGUAUCUAUCAUAAAAGCUGUAUAGACUCCUGGUUUGAGAUCAACCGCUCCU